This 541-nucleotide ribosomal RNA is filed under the name uncultured archaeon. RNAcentral describes it as "bacterial SSU rRNA". It matches the Rfam family "Archaeal small subunit ribosomal RNA", at positions 457 to 997 of the family's 1478-position model. The record is from RNAcentral.
GUCAGCCGCCGCGGUAACACCGGCAGCUCUAGUGGUAGCUAAUUUUAUUGGGCCUAAAGCGUCCGUAGCCGGUUUAAUAAGUCUCUGGUGAAAUCCUGCAGCUUAACUGUGGGAAUUGCUGGAGAUACUAUUAGACUUGAGACCGGGAGAGGUUAGAGGUACUCCCAGGGUAGAGGUGAAAUUCUGUAAUCCUGGGAGGACCGCCUGUUGCGAAGGCGUCUAACUGGAACGGUUCUGACGGUGAGGGACGAAAGUUAGGGGCGCGAACCGGAUUAGAUACCCGGGUAGUCCUAACUGUAAACGAUGCGGACUUGGUGUUGGGGUGGCUUUGAGCUGCUUCAGUGCCGAAGGGAAGCUGUUAAGUCCGCCGCCUGGGAAGUACGGUCGCAAGACUGAAACUUAAGGAAUUGGCGGGGGAGCACCACAACGCGUGGAGCCUGCCGGUUUAAUUGGAUUCAACGCCGGACAUCUCACCAGAGGCGACAGCUGUAUGAUAGCCAGGUUGAUGACUUUGCUUGACUAGCUGAGGAGUGGUGCAUGG